AGGGUAUGGUUCUCUUUCUUCUCUUCCUUAAAUUACAAUUGUUUAAAAUGCAUGGUCUCUUUUUUUCCCCCCUUUUUUUGUCCCUCUGGGUUCACAUGCUGCUUUAUAACAUUACACUUUGUUGAAGUAAAUGAAAUUAUUUGAUCUGAGUUUGCCUUUACUAUAAUUCAAAAGCAAAGAUAUAGGGCCUGCAUGAAAGAAAUACAUUGUCUUUCAUUCCAUUAUUAUUUUCCUUGAUCUGAAUCAGUUCACAAUAAAAAAAGAAAAACAUGCUGUUUUGUAUGUAUCCAGGAUAUCGAGGUGAUAAAAAAGAAGCUUGAAGAACUAGAGGGCAAGUUUAAUCCUAAGCAAAUUGUUGUUGUAACAGAAAAGGUGAGUGGAAUUGAAAUACUGGCAGAUAGCUUAAGUACAUUCAUGGUAGAUUUGAUUUCUCUAUUUCGCAAUUUUGCCUUUUCAGAGUGGGGCAGUAUAAGUGUGAAGUAAACAAGCUGGAAUAUUGUGAACCUUUGAAAAACAAAUGUUUAGUUAUGAGCAUAGAGUUGAAC
Molecule: long non-coding RNA, 545 nt
Filed under: Citrus maxima (pomelo)
Lineage: Eukaryota; Viridiplantae; Streptophyta; Magnoliopsida; Sapindales; Rutaceae
Description: long non-coding RNA (CMAX_LNC001876)
Source: RNAcentral